GAAAUUUGAAUAGGAUGGACAACUUUGGUAUUUAGUAGUGAGAAGUUGGAUAUUAUUUUGGGAACCGUCUCAAACGUUUGGUUGUGUCUUGGAUACGCAUGCAUAUUCGAGAUAUUUUUUGCAUUGGGUGGUAGGGAAAAUCUCAGCCACAAUAGAGAGAAGCCCAUAAAUUUGGUGUGCCUAUUGUCACGAGAGGACGUUGAUUUUGAUUUUUUACUUGUAGGUUCAUUAUUUGUUUGCCAUUUGAAAGAGUGGAUUUUGGAUUUUGGAUUUUGGUUGCAUAUAUCAUAUGUGUCCCAAUAGAAAUUUGGAUUUUGGUACUGUCUUUAUAGGCAGUGGCCAUACUUGUAAGACUUUGGAUACGUAAAAUCAGAUUUUGCAUGAUGGAUCUUCCUUUGAUUUGUUUGAUGUUCGGUAUGUUCCAGACUUGAUUCAGAAUCUCAUCUCAUUGGGAACUUUAGAGUCUACCGAUUUGGUAAUCACUUUGGUAGGUAGGGCUCUAAAGAUUUGUUUGUAUGCUUUGGUUGUGAUGAUGGGUACUUGACACAACAACUUGUAUUCCGUUCAAGGGAAGACUGUUAAAGGUGGAGCAACCAUCGUUGUUAGGAAGAUUGGAGAAUUUGUUUUGGAUACUACCAAUUGGCGACAAAUGCACUAUUUUGAUUAAAAGGCCUUGCAAGAGCUAGGAAAGCACACUUAGUUUGGGUAAGCAUUAUGACAUAGGGGAGCAACUAGAAGUCAAGUUUUAGAUGACAAUCAAUUAGCUAUUUGGUUCACUUAGCUUUGUUUGGGAGCUUGCAAUUGUUGCUUUUUUUAGUAGUAAGUAUCAAUUUAGUUCGUUAGUUAGUUCUUGUUGCUAUUGGGUCUAUCUCUUUAAUUUUGGUUUUGGUUUUCAAAAAUCGCAUUCGUUUUUGAAGUUGGUGGAAGAUAAAUUGUUUGGGACUAACUUUGAUUUUGAAUUUGAGUAAGAAAAUUUGGUUUGGAUAUUGUGCACUGCAGAUUUGAUCUUCGGGAUUAGGUUCAAUUGGUUAGACUUAAUCCAUUUGGAUUUGUUUGGGCACUUUUAGGAUGCAUACGCCAUAGGGUACAAUUUAGGGAUGACCAGGAAGACAGUUUCAUUAAUUUUGCAUCUUGGGUCUUCUGUUUGAUUAGAAUUUGUAAUUUGGUUUGAAUAUCAAAACUUGAAAUUUGGAGUUAUUGCUAUUCAUUUUUUGGUUAUGAAAUUUGUUCAAAACUUCAUAAAUUUGGCUCUUUUGUUUGGUGUUUUGAUAUUUUAAAAAUUUGUUAGGACAUUUCGUGAUCUACAGUUUGUUUAUUUUGUCAUGUGAGAGCUUGUAUUGCUCCCUUUAAAGUUUGAUUUGGAUCUCUAGACUCUUCCUUGAUUCAACCUUUGGUGAGAGUUUUGUUUGGUUAGUUUGAUUCAAUGUGUCCUGAGCAUUCGUUUGGCUUGGAAGAUUUGUUUACAUGCCUCCACUUUUCUUUGUGAUUCACACUUGGUUUAGGUUUAUUCUGAGUAUUUGCUUAGCCAAGUAAUUCAUUUAUUCUUUGGUUUGUUCGAAUGUCAUUUGAAGAUUUAUUUUGAAGCUCGGAUUGGUUUGAAGGUAGUUUUGUAGACAAGUUAAAGAUUUUGGCCUCUUUGAUUUGUUUUGGU
This 1651-nucleotide long non-coding RNA is filed under the name Actinidia chinensis (golden kiwifruit). Its description in RNAcentral is "long non-coding RNA (ACHI_LNC004443)". Lineage: Eukaryota; Viridiplantae; Streptophyta; Magnoliopsida; Ericales; Actinidiaceae. The record is from RNAcentral.